UACGGAGGAUGCGAGCGUUAUCCGGAUUUAUUGGGUUUAAAGGGUGCGUAGACGGGAAAUUAAGUUAGUUGUGAAAUCCCUCGGCUUAACUGAGGAACUGCAACUAAAACUGAUUUUCUUGAGUACUGGAGAGGAAAGUGGAAUUCCUAGUGUAGCGGUGAAAUGCGUAGAUAUUAGGAGGAACACCAGUGGCGAAGGCGACCUGCUAGAACAUAACUGACGCUGAUGCGCGAAGGCGUGGGGAGCAAACAGG
Molecule: ribosomal RNA, 253 nt
Filed under: uncultured Eubacteriales bacterium
Lineage: Bacteria; Bacillati; Bacillota; Clostridia; Eubacteriales
Description: uncultured Clostridiales bacterium partial 16S ribosomal RNA
Rfam family: Bacterial small subunit ribosomal RNA
Source: RNAcentral